AGAGUUUGAUCCUGGCUCAGGACGAACGCUGGCGGCGUGCCUAAUACAUGCAAGUCGAGCGAGCUUGCCUAGAUGAUUUUAGUGCUUGCACUAAAUGAAACUAGAUACAAGCGAGCGGCGGACGGGUGAGUAACACGUGGGUAACCUACCCAAGAGACUGGGAUAACACCUGGAAACAGAUGCUAAUACCGGAUAACAACACUAGACGCAUGUCUAGAGUUUGAAAGAUGGUUCUGCUAUCACUCUUGGAUGGACCUGCGGUGCAUUAGCUAGUUGGUAAGGUAACGGCUUACCAAGGCAAUGAUGCAUAGCCGAGUUGAGAGACUGAUCGGCCACAUUGGGACUGAGACACGGCCCAAACUCCUACGGGAGGCAGCAGUAGGGAAUCUUCCACAAUGGACGAAAGUCUGAUGGAGCAACGCCGCGUGAGUGAAGAAGGGUUUCGGCUCGUAAAGCUCUGUUGGUAGUGAAGAAAGAUAGAGGUAGUAACUGGCCUUUAUUUGACGGUAAUUACUUAGAAAGUCACGGCCAACUACGUGCCAGCAGCCGCGGUAAUACGUAGGUGGCAAGCGUUGUCCGGAUUUAUUGGGCGUAAAGCGAGUGCAGGCGGUUCAAUAAGUCUGAUGUGAAAGCCUUCGGCUCAACCGGAGAAUUGCAUCAGAAACUGUUGAACUUGAGUGCAGAAGAGGAGAGUGGAACUCCAUGUGUAGCGGUGGAAUGCGUAGAUAUAUGGAAGAACACCAGUGGCGAAGGCGGCUCUCUGGUCUGCAACUGACGCUGAGGCUCGAAAGCAUGGGUAGCGAACAGGAUUAGAUACCCUGGUAGUCCAUGCCGUAAACGAUGAGUGCUAAGUGUUGGGGGGUUUCCGCCUCUCAGUGCUGCAGCUAACGCAUUAAGCACUCCG
This 904-nucleotide ribosomal RNA is filed under the name uncultured bacterium. Its description in RNAcentral is "bacterial SSU rRNA". It matches the Rfam family "Bacterial small subunit ribosomal RNA", at positions 8 to 871 of the family's 1533-position model. The record is from RNAcentral.